RNAcentral lists this ribosomal RNA (818 nucleotides) under Microbacterium sp. VTT E-073066. RNAcentral's name for it is "bacterial SSU rRNA". It matches the Rfam family "Bacterial small subunit ribosomal RNA", at positions 60 to 887 of the family's 1533-position model. The record is from RNAcentral. Lineage: Bacteria; Bacillati; Actinomycetota; Actinomycetes; Micrococcales; Microbacteriaceae.
AGUCGAACGGUGAAAGCGGAGCUUGCUCUGCUGGAUCAGUGGCGAACGGGUGAGUAACACGUGAGCAAUCUGCCCCUGACUCUGGGAUAAGCGCUGGAAACGGCGUCUAAUACCGGAUACGAGCUGCGAAGGCAUCUUCAGCAGCUGGAAAGAAUUUCGGUCAGGGAUGAGCUCGCGGCCUAUCAGCUUGUUGGUGAGGUAACGGCUCACCAAGGCGUCGACGGGUAGCCGGCCUGAGAGGGUGACCGGCCACACUGGGACUGAGACACGGCCCAGACUCCUACGGGAGGCAGCAGUGGGGAAUAUUGCACAAUGGGCGAAAGCCUGAUGCAGCAACGCCGCGUGAGGGACGACGGCCUUCGGGUUGUAAACCUCUUUUAGCAGGGAAGAAGCGAAAGUGACGGUACCUGCAGAAAAAGCGCCGGCUAACUACGUGCCAGCAGCCGCGGUAAUACGUAGGGCGCAAGCGUUAUCCGGAAUUAUUGGGCGUAAAGAGCUCGUAGGCGGUUUGUCGCGUCUGCUGUGAAAACCCGAGGCUCAACCUCGGGCCUGCAGUGGGUACGGGCAGACUAGAGUGCGGUAGGGGAGAUUGGAAUUCCUGGUGUAGCGGUGGAAUGCGCAGAUAUCAGGAGGAACACCGAUGGCGAAGGCAGAUCUCUGGGCCGUAACUGACGCUGAGGAGCGAAAGGGUGGGGAGCAAACAGGCUUAGAUACCCUGGUAGUCCACCCCGUAAACGUUGGGAACUAGUUGUGGGGACCAUUCCACGGUUUCCGUGACGCAGCUAACGCAUUAAGUUCCCCGCCUGGGGAGUACGGCC